Molecule: unclassified non-coding RNA, 112 nt
Organism: Gorilla gorilla gorilla (western lowland gorilla)
Lineage: Eukaryota; Metazoa; Chordata; Mammalia; Primates; Hominidae
Rfam family: Y RNA
About the family: Y RNAs are components of the Ro ribonucleoprotein particle (Ro RNP), in association with Ro60 and La proteins. The Y RNAs and Ro60 and La proteins are well conserved, but the function of the Ro RNP is not known.
Source: Ensembl
GGCUGGUCCAAAGGUAGUGAGUUAUCUCAAUUGAUUGUUGACAGUCAGUUACAGAUCAAACUUCUCAUUCUACUCUUUCCCCCUUCUCACUACUGUACUUGACUAGUCAAAA